GUCCACGCCGUAAACGUUGGGCACUAGGUGUGGGCCUCAACCAACGAGGUCCGUGCCGUCGCUAACGCAUUAAGUGCCCCGCCUGGGGGAGUACGGCCGCAAGGCUAAAACUCAAAGGAAUUGACGGGGGCCCGCACAAGCAGCGGAGCGUGUUGCUUAAUUCGAUGCAACGCGAAGAACCUUACCUGGGCUUGACAUGUAGGGAAAAGCCGUAGAGAUACGGUGUCCUUCGGGGCCCAUCACAGGUGGUGCAUGGCUGUCGU
RNAcentral lists this ribosomal RNA (263 nucleotides) under uncultured bacterium. RNAcentral describes it as "partial 16S ribosomal RNA". It matches the Rfam family "Bacterial small subunit ribosomal RNA", at positions 793 to 1055 of the family's 1533-position model. The record is from RNAcentral.